RNAcentral lists this ribosomal RNA (253 nucleotides) under uncultured bacterium. RNAcentral describes it as "partial 16S ribosomal RNA". It matches the Rfam family "Bacterial small subunit ribosomal RNA", at positions 524 to 776 of the family's 1533-position model. The record is from RNAcentral.
UACAGAGGUGGCAAGCGUUGUUCGGAAUUACUGGGCGUAAAGGGCGCGUAGGCGGCUUUCUAAGUCAGACGUGAAAUCCCCCGGCUUAACCUGAGAACUGCGUCUGAUACUGGGAGGCUUGAAUGCGGGAGAGGGAUGUAGAAUUCCAGGUGUAGCGGUGAAAUGCGUAGAUAUCUGGAGGAACACCGGUGGCGAAGGCGGCAUCCUGGACCGGCAUUGACGCUGAGGCGCGAAAGCCAGGGGAGCAAACGGG